Molecule: long non-coding RNA, 957 nt
Organism: Oncorhynchus tshawytscha (Chinook salmon)
Lineage: Eukaryota; Metazoa; Chordata; Actinopteri; Salmoniformes; Salmonidae
Source: Ensembl
GCUCACGCAAAUAAUGUUGUUCACGACACACGCGUUGUUAUCGUGGUCACGUCAGAUAGCAUUGUCCUACAAAACGCUAAAGCUUAUUAAACAACUUUACACAGGACAAAUGGUAUCGUGUUUAUCCGUUGAAUCAAAACAGAAGACGGUUAUUUGUUAAGGCUUAACGAAAAAAAAAAAGGUCGCGCGAAGAUUGUGUACGAUUAUAGCUAGUAGCUAACGUUAGCUAGGUUACGAAGCCAAAUAUCUGCAUAAAGUUACUGCAUGAAGUUACUUAACAGGGACAACAUGUCUAGCCUUAACAGUCGCAAUAUUUUCGAGAAAGAAACAACGUCGAUUAUGACUUUUAUCGUUGAGACGGCAGUAGCAGAAAUUAGCCAACUGUUUUUGGACAACGAAUCAAUCGCGGCGCCAAUACCAAGUAACCUGGGAAAAAAGAAACAGGUUGGCACCAUUAUGCACCUUUUGACAAAGGAGGCUGUUCGUAAAAUCUGUAGACUAUUCCUAGAAGUCUCUGCGGCUUUACAAAAUGAAAAUGAGAAGCUGAAGAUCAAGGUGGAGCAGAUGGAUAAAGAUCUGAAGGCGAUGGUUGAGAAGGGUGAGGGGCGAGAAGAACCGAAAAGACCAACCCAUAUUCUGCACAAUGGAACGAUCUUUAAAAUUAAGCCAGUUGAUCUCCCAAUGAUGCCUGUUAACAAUGUGAAGACAAACACAGUGGCCUCAGCAUUGCUCAGCAUGGGAGAUGUCAGUCAAGUAAACACUGUCAUCGUACAGGAAGAGACUACUGCGAGAAAUACAGGCUCUAGCACCGACCCUGUGAAGGAGAGGAGUGAGGUGAAAUCAGGAACUAAAACGUCAGUCAUUGAAGGAACAGUGGGUUAACUGCCUGUUCAGGGGAUGAACGACAGAUUUGUACCUUGUCAGCUCGGGGAUUCGAACUUGCAACCUUUCGGUUAC